Molecule: ribosomal RNA, 657 nt
Filed under: uncultured bacterium
Lineage: Bacteria
Description: bacterial SSU rRNA
Rfam family: Bacterial small subunit ribosomal RNA
Source: RNAcentral
CCCUUAGAGUUUGAUCCUGGCUCAGAUUGAACGCUGGCGGCAUGCCUUACACAUGCAAGUCGAGCGGCAGCGCGGGGGCAACCCUGGCGGCGAGCGGCGAACGGGUGAGUAAUACAUCGGAACGUGCCCAGUAGUGGGGGAUAACCUCUCGAAAGAGAGGCUAAUACCGCAUACGACCUACGGGUGAAAGCGGGGGACCGCAAGGCCUCGCGCUAUUGGAGCGGCCGAUGUCGGAUUAGCUAGUUGGCGGGGUAAAGGCCCACCAAGGCGACGAUCCGUAGCUGGUCUGAGAGGACGACCAGCCACACUGGAACUGAGACACGGUCCAGACUCCUACGGGAGGCAGCAGUGGGGAAUUUUGGACAAUGGGCGCAAGCCUGAUCCAGCCAUGCCGCGUGAGUGAAGAAGGCCUUCGGGUUGUAAAGCUCUUUCGGCGGGGACGAAACGGUCCGUGCCAACACCACGGACUAAUGACGGUACCCGCAGAAGAAGCACCGGCUAACUACGUGCCAGCAGCCGCGGUAAUACGUAGGGUGCAGGCGUUAAUCGGAAUUACUGGGGGUAAAGCGUGCGUAGGCGGUUUGUUAAGACAGGUGUGAAAUCCCCGGGCUUAACCUGGGAACUGCGCUUGUUACUGGCAGACUUGAGUGUGGCAGA